RNAcentral lists this long non-coding RNA (384 nucleotides) under Salvia miltiorrhiza (redroot sage). RNAcentral describes it as "long non-coding RNA (SMIL_LNC008276)". Lineage: Eukaryota; Viridiplantae; Streptophyta; Magnoliopsida; Lamiales; Lamiaceae. The record is from RNAcentral.
GUAGAAGGCGCCCGCGAGAUCAUUUUGGCCUAUGUCGAACAUGUAAAGCGCCUUCCCAAAGUAAUCCUGAGCCGGCAGGUAUUUGUCGUAUUUCCUGGCUGUUGUACAGUAAGCGAGGAGGUGAUUGGUAUGAAGGAAUUGAAUUAGGUACGAACCGGAUUAUUAUUACUAUUAUGUUCAUUGCAAGAUUUUGAAUACAUUUAGUGAGGAUAUCCACCGCUUUUGCCUUGAACCUCAGAAACUGAGCUACUUGGAUCCUGAACGAAAACGGGCAAACCGAGGAAGCCGUGGCCGGAAGAGUGGUGGCGCCUGCAGCUGCAAAGUUGCACCCUCUUUUGAAAAUUGGCGCUGCAAUUGACUCCAAAUAUGGAUUCAACAAGGGCA